UGAGGAAUAUUGCGCAAUGGGGGAAACCCUGACGCAGCAACGCCGCGUGUGGGAAGAAGGCCUUCGGGUCGUAAACCACUUUUACUCGGGACGAAAAAGGGAUAUCGAAUAAAUAUCCCCGAUGACGGUACCGUGAGAAUAAGCCACGGCUAACUCUGUGCCAGCAGCCGCGGUAAGACAGAGGUGGCAAGCGUUGUUCGGAAUUACUGGGCGUAAAGAGUCUGUAGGUGGUUUGUCAAGUCUUUGGUGAAAGGCCGUAGCUUAACUAUGGGAAUGCCAAAGAGACUGGCAGGCUGGAGGCUGGGAGAGGGAAGCGGAAUUUCUGGUGUAGCGGUGAAAUGCGUAGAUAUCAGAAGGAAGGCCGGUGGCGAAGGCGGCUUCCUGGAACAGUCCUGACACUGAGAGACGAAAGCGUGGGGAGCAAACAGG
RNAcentral lists this ribosomal RNA (429 nucleotides) under uncultured Acidimicrobiia bacterium. RNAcentral's name for it is "bacterial SSU rRNA". It matches the Rfam family "Bacterial small subunit ribosomal RNA", at positions 355 to 776 of the family's 1533-position model. The record is from RNAcentral. Lineage: Bacteria; Bacillati; Actinomycetota; Acidimicrobiia.